RNAcentral lists this long non-coding RNA (499 nucleotides) under Arachis ipaensis. Its description in RNAcentral is "long non-coding RNA (AIPA_LNC001941)". The record is from RNAcentral. Lineage: Eukaryota; Viridiplantae; Streptophyta; Magnoliopsida; Fabales; Fabaceae.
AACAACAUAAAUUAAAAAAAAUAAAAAGGAAGAACUCAUGUUUAUGUUAUUCAAAAAAUUAAAAAAAAAAGAAAAUUGAAGACUAUAUUCUGUAUUUUGUACUAAGAUAAACAAAAAAUACAAUAUUUUCCUCUGCAACAAUAAAACACAGAAGCCACUAGAAGUCGAUGGAGCACUUCCCCUCAAAACAAACCCCAAAAGCACUAAAGCAGACGACUUUACUCUUGCUGAAAACCUCCUAGAAGCAGAAUAAAAACACACACACACACAGAGAGAGAGAGAGAGGGGAAUCGAAGAAGGAGAAGAGGUUGAGCAAGACGAUGCUACCGACGAGCAAGAUCAUCGUUGUCGUUGUCGAACUGAGGAGAAGGGAACGACCAGAGACAGAGGCCAAGUUUGAAGGGGAAGUUUGGACCUGAGUUUUAGCUUUCUCGCCGUAGAAGGCUGCCCUCUUCUCCACCGUCGCCUCCCUCUUCUUCCUUUUCUUUUCUUUUUUCUU